GCGGGGUUUCGGGAGCAGACAUUCCAGUUUGCUGGGGACGUGUAGGAGCUGAGGCCCCGUGCCUGUGGGGGACACUCAUUACGCUUAGCUGGUGCUCCGGGAAAUAGAGAGUUGGGCAGAGUUCCCAUCCUGUGGAGCUUGCAGUUGGAAAAAUCCUCUACACACCAAGAAGGCUGGCAGAGUAGCAGUUGAUCCCCAGUGGGAGCCCAGAGGGGGAAGGAAACAACUAGCAAGCCAUUCCAGAAGUGCUGUGUGGUAUUUGGAGGGCUGGGUACCAGCUGCAGCACAGAUUUCCAGAGGUUUCAGCUGAGUGAGGAGAGGGCUGUGG
Molecule: long non-coding RNA, 328 nt
Organism: Camarhynchus parvulus
Lineage: Eukaryota; Metazoa; Chordata; Aves; Passeriformes; Thraupidae
Exons: 3
Source: RefSeq, a predicted model, not a curated record